AGCCUUAAGAAUAUAUUUAAGGUGAAGCCUGCCCUGUGCUAGUUUGUUAACGGCCGCAGUACCUUGACUGUGCUAAGGUAGCAUAAUCAGUUGGCUUUUAAUUGGAGUCGGGAAUGAAUGGACCAAUGGGGUGAAGCUGUCUCUCCUAUAUUAAUUUGAAUUUACUUAUUAGGUGAAAAUGCCUAAGUUAAGAAAAAAGACGAGAAGACCCUAGGAGUUUUUACUAAAAAUUACUUAUGUAAAUUUAUGUUUUUGUUGGGGCGACAAUGAAAUAUUUUAAACUUUCAUUACUAUAUUUGCCGACUAAGUAUGAUAAAUUAAACUACCCUAGGGAUAACAGCGUAAUUCUAUAUGAGCUUGCGACCUCGAUGUUGGACUAGGAAUUUGGUAGGCUAGCCGCCUAUUUUUAUUGUUCUGUUCGAACUAUUUUUCC
This 433-nucleotide ribosomal RNA is filed under the name Hermaea wrangeliae. Its description in RNAcentral is "partial 16S ribosomal RNA". It matches the Rfam family "Archaeal large subunit ribosomal RNA", at positions 1921 to 2664 of the family's 2987-position model. The record is from RNAcentral. Lineage: Eukaryota; Metazoa; Mollusca; Gastropoda; Hermaeidae.